This 239-nucleotide long non-coding RNA is filed under the name Gallus gallus (chicken). The record is from RNAcentral. Lineage: Eukaryota; Metazoa; Chordata; Aves; Galliformes; Phasianidae.
CUUCGUUUGUUGUUUGAUUGGAGCUGAUCAAAUACGUGUGAAAACCUGAGAGGCCCACAAUGGACCAUACGGAGAAAAAGCACACCACAGCUUCCAGCACACUUGCAGGACUGUCCUUCAGGGCAUUGAGGAACCCUGCUUGUUGAGAACGAAGAAUGACGUGGGUGAUAACGAAUGCAAAUAUAAAGACUGUCAGAAAGGACAGAGAUAAAAUAAACAUAUAAAAAAAUCUGUAGUUU